Lolium rigidum is the source of this 754-nucleotide long non-coding RNA. RefSeq lists it as uncharacterized. The record is from RefSeq and is a predicted model, not a curated record. The transcript is spliced from 2 exons. Lineage: Eukaryota; Viridiplantae; Streptophyta; Magnoliopsida; Poales; Poaceae.
UUCACCUUCCCACGUCCCCACGCCUAUGCUUUUUCUUGAACCCGUCCCACCACUCGGCAGCCCAUCAAACUCCCGAUCUCCACAGUAAAAAAACUCCCGAUCCCCAAUUCCGAAUUCUCCUCGAAUGCAUGCUUACCCUGGCAGCAGCCGCCACAGAUCAAUCCAUCCUAUUCCCUUAUUCUGUGCUUCCACCUCAGGCCAUCCGACGACCGGCGGCGCGGCUGCCUCAUCAGUAUCCCCUUUACCCUCCUCCUCCUAGCCACAUCACUUGACCUUGCCUACAUCUUCUUCCUCAUGGUCACGCAGGGACACGGAACCGCCGUGGAGCUCUGAGGCCCGGAGGUCAACUGGGGUUCCGGACAGCGCUAGGCCUCCGCCGCCGCUGCAGGGCCCUGUGCCGGGACGGGGAUUGAAGCUGCGACUCGUGGGUCCUCUAGCUGAGGAAGAUAGAAAGGCUUUUGAGGAGGGGCUUGGGAAGAACACCAAAGUUGUAGAUGAACUCAACUGCUUGCUGAAGGAUACCUCGGUAAAGCUGAAUGUGCAGAACAAAAUAUCUUAUCUUUGUCUUUGUAGUUACUCUAAUCAUUUAUGUUUACUGAAACGAUGCUCCUGCUAUAGUCCUUAACUCCUUCCCUUUUAGCGUGUGAACUAUCUAGGCUGUAACUGCAUAAAACUAAAAAAAUCCAAUAACUUGUAGGUAAACGCCCUGACUACCAAGCAAACAACACAUGUGACAUAGAAUUUGAAAUUCUGG